Molecule: long non-coding RNA, 1730 nt
Organism: Harmonia axyridis
Lineage: Eukaryota; Metazoa; Arthropoda; Insecta; Coleoptera; Coccinellidae
Exons: 3
Source: RefSeq, a predicted model, not a curated record
UUAUUUUGCUGAAAUAUUGAAUUCUCGAGCCGAUUGAGGUGAGGGAGAAUAUUUCUUGAAGAUAACGCAGCGCUGUCAUGUUACCUCGAAUAAAGACUCAAGGUGACCUACUUGCAUGUGCAAUAGCACCCUACCAUAACGCCUACUGUCCAGUGUAAAUGACGCUCCACAUCAGACUGAGGUUCACGUCUUUCUCCCCGACGUCGUCUAACCCUUCUUUGGCCAUCAUGUGCACCCAAGGAGAAUCGAGAGGUUUUCAAAAUAUGUUCAUUUACUCCCUCAAAAUUAGAUCCGUGCCUGCGGUAGGCCACCCGGUCUAAUAUGGAAUUAAGGAUUCAAAAAUGGUAUAACACUUACCUACCAAAUUAUUUCUUAAAUCGGACAAAAAGGGUUACCUGUUACCCGUUUCAAUCUUGACGUCGGUUUCUGGGACACCGAAUAUAUACAAGUUUUUUAAUUUAUCGAUGUUUUUAAAUUUCAAACUGUUUAUGUAGUUAGUGAUUUUGCUCGCGCCGGUCCUGAGUAGAAUAAUUGGAUCGCUUGUAGUCAGGUUACGAUAGCUUUCACAAAGUAGAUGUUGUGGCGGUGAAUUCUAAAGCGGUCGCCAUGCAGAAAUAUCUAAGUUACAUACUGGGUGUCAUAAAAUUGAAUAUCAAGAUUUAAGAGGAGUAUUUUUCAGAUUAAGAUGAUUCACUGUAUGAACAACACCAACACUUAGUUGAUUUUCAAGCCAUAACGCUAAAUGGACGACAAGGUCAGACCUAAUUGAGAAAACUUGAAAUUUCUUACUCAUGCAGCGAACUUAUUUCCUGAUGUUCUUUAAUGAUUUCUUGUAGAUACUGAGCUUCGAAAUUAAUUAAAGAAAACUCUUGAAAGACAGACGGACAAUUUUUAUGAUUUAUUAUUUUCGAUAGAAAACAUUUUUCAAUUAUUCAAACAAAACAUUUUUAUAAUUCUUCUGAAACUUUCAUAAUCAUUCGUUCACCUAUAUGAAUUGAAUUCGAAAAAUUCGUAAUUUUGGGACAAAAACUUCACCCUAACAAGUAUUGUUUUCAAUUCAAAUUUAUAGCUUUUAAUUAAUUUUUCAAUUUUUGGAUCGAAUGUUACUUGAAAUCAUGAGCAGGGAGUUUUGCAACCUGUACAAUUAAUCGAUGUAUCACAAUAACAACCCUGUAUUUUGAAAAAAGUGUUAGAAUUAUUGGAUAUACUCAUUCAUAUGGUAAUACUUUUAGAAUUUCAUCGAAAUUGAAUGAGCCAUACCCUGUGAAGUCUCAAUUGAAGCCCCCAACUAUAAAUCAAAAAUUGUUUCGAAAUUGUAUUUAGUAGUUUAAAUUUCUCCUAAAAUCUCUCUGGAAUCACUCUGUAUAUAGAAAAACCAUUUCAAGUUUUUGUAUGGGACUAUCAGCGAACCAUACUGAAUACUCAUUCUAGUGAGGUCCAUGGGCGCCCGCAGAAAUUUUUCUCAGGGGGGGCAAAAGAUGAAAAUUAUUGAAAAUUGAUAAGGCGUCCAUGAUUGUCGUAAGCGAUAUUAGUAUUCCGUUUCUUUCUUUUUCUGUAUUUAUAUUCAUAAGUGGGGGGAGGACUGUGCAAAUUAAAAAUUAUGAAGUUUUCCACUUCAACAUUUUUUUUAAACAUCAACAACAUUGGGUGAUGUGAAAUAAUACGGUAACUCUCUUCAAAAAGAGUCACAUUCGAUGGAAGAAUUCACAAAAAAAUAAAUAUAAAAAUAU